RNAcentral lists this ribosomal RNA (434 nucleotides) under uncultured Lachnospiraceae bacterium. RNAcentral describes it as "bacterial SSU rRNA". It matches the Rfam family "Bacterial small subunit ribosomal RNA", at positions 341 to 792 of the family's 1533-position model. The record is from RNAcentral. Lineage: Bacteria; Bacillati; Bacillota; Clostridia; Lachnospirales; Lachnospiraceae.
ACGGAAGGCAGCAGUAGGGAAUAUUGCACAAUGGGGGAAACCCUGAUGCAGCGACGCCGCGUGAGUGAUGAAGUAUUUCGGUACGUAAAGCUCUAUCAGCAGGGAAGAUAAUGACGGUACCUGACUAAGAAGCCCCGGCUAACUACGUGCCAGCAGCCGCGGUAAUACGUAGGGGGCAAGCGUUAUCCGGAUUUACUGGGUGUAAGGGGAGUGUAGGUGGUCUGGCAAGUCAGAUGUGAAAGCCCGCGGCUCAACCGCGGGACUGCAUUUGAAACUGUCAGACUGGAGUGCAGGAGAGGAAAGUGGAAUUCCUAGUGUAGCGGUGAAAUGCGUAGAUAUUAGGAAGAACACCAGUGGCGAAGGCGGCUUUCUGGACUGUAACUGACACUGAGGCUCGAAAGCGUGGGGAGCAAACAGGAUUAGAUACCCUGGUA